UAGAGACAGCAGAUUUACAUUCCAGAUGCUGUGGCUAAAAGCAGCUACCUUUGCACAGUCUAGUCAUUUUUUUCCUUUUCCUUUCCCAAGUGAGAUUUGAGAAUUAAAACUGUAA
Sarcophilus harrisii (Tasmanian devil) is the source of this 115-nucleotide non-coding RNA. Lineage: Eukaryota; Metazoa; Chordata; Mammalia; Dasyuromorphia; Dasyuridae. The record is from Rfam.